RNAcentral lists this ribosomal RNA (343 nucleotides) under uncultured Pseudomonadota bacterium. RNAcentral describes it as "bacterial SSU rRNA". It matches the Rfam family "Bacterial small subunit ribosomal RNA", at positions 29 to 351 of the family's 1533-position model. Lineage: Bacteria; Pseudomonadati; Pseudomonadota. The record is from RNAcentral.
AAUGAACGCUGGCGGCGUGCUUAACACAUGCAAGUCGUACGAGAAAUCCCGGGCUUGCCUGGGAAAGUAAAGUGGCGCACGGGUGAGUAACGCGUGGGUAAUCUGCCCUCGGGUUCGGGAUAACAUUGCGAAAGCGGUGCUAAUACCGGAUAAUAUUCAGGUCUCUUCGGAGGUUUGGAUCAAAGGUGGCCUCUACAUGUAAGCUACUGUCUGAGGAGGAGCUCGCGUACCAUUAGCUAGUUGGUGAGGUAACGGCUCACCAAGGCCGCGAUGGUUAGCUGGUCUGAGAGGAUGAUCAGCCACACUGGAACUGACACACGGUCCAGACUCCUACGGGUGGCUG